AGCUCCAAUAGCGUAUAUUAAAGUUGUUGCAGUUAAAAAGCUCGUAGUCGGAUUUCGGGUCGUCUGGUCCGGUCUGCCGUUGGGUAUGCACUGGUCUUGGGCGGCCUUUUCGCGUGAGGCCGCGCGUGUCGUUUGUUCGUCGCGCGCGGCGCUCUGCACGUUUACUUUGAGAAAAUCAGAGUGUUCAAAGCAGGCCUUUGCCAUUGUAUGUGUUAGCAUGGGAUAAUGGAAUAGGACCUUGGUGCUAUUUUGUUGGUUUCGAACGCCGAGGUAAUGAUUAAUAGGGAUAGUCAGGGGCACUCGUAUUCCGUAGAGAGAGGUGAAAUUCUUAGACCCACGGAAGACGCACUACUGCGAAAGCAUUUGCCAGGGAUGUUUUCA
This 381-nucleotide ribosomal RNA is filed under the name Diacronema sp. RNAcentral describes it as "SSU rRNA". It matches the Rfam family "Eukaryotic small subunit ribosomal RNA", at positions 587 to 972 of the family's 1831-position model. The record is from RNAcentral. Lineage: Eukaryota; Haptophyta; Pavlovophyceae; Pavlovales; Pavlovaceae.